UACAUGUGCAUUGCAUUCAUAAGCAUCAUGCCACAAUUGCAUAUUUGAAUUCAAAUUUUGAAUCACAAAAGGCUUUAAGAGAUCUUGUUUACAUCCCUGUAACCUUUGGAUUUUCAAACCAAUAGGGUUGAUGUAUAAAAAGGGUUUAGUGCAUAUAUAAGCUAUCCCAUAAUUUUUGGUUAAUUAUUUGGAGUUGAAAAAGUAUUUUUAUUUAAAUAGUUAUAUGGCCCUAAAGCAUUUAUAGGGCAAAUGUAUUUUUACAUAUUUUAUUUUGAAGAGAAACUACUUCCAAAAGUUGUAUCUUGGUAGAACAUGAUUUUACAAAUUUUCUGAAAUUUAUUUGGACCAAUUUGGAGUUCAAACUCAAAAGAUAUCAAAGAAAUGAGAAAAGCAGAAAAAGAAAAGGCUAAAAGAAAAAAAAAAUAGAAAACCGGACCGGCCCGGCCAAAAUGGGCCGAACCGGCCCAGUCCGACCGCACGCGCGCCGGCCCCGCCAGCCCGGCCGCCCCACGCGCGCGCCCACACCCGCUGACAGGUGGGGCCCACCUGUCAGGGGCUUCUUCCCCGGAAGGAAACCCUCGCGCCGGUCACGCGCGCGAUUUCCGGCCGCCGUCCCCGCGCGCCCGCCGCCGCAAUCCGCUCCUCCGGCCUUCCUUUUUCACGCCCG
This 667-nucleotide long non-coding RNA is filed under the name Brachypodium distachyon (stiff brome). RNAcentral's name for it is "long non-coding RNA (BDIS_LNC001058)". Lineage: Eukaryota; Viridiplantae; Streptophyta; Magnoliopsida; Poales; Poaceae. The record is from RNAcentral.